This 184-nucleotide unclassified non-coding RNA is filed under the name Uromyces sp. H89818. RNAcentral describes it as "ITS1". The record is from RNAcentral. Lineage: Eukaryota; Fungi; Basidiomycota; Pucciniomycetes; Pucciniales; Pucciniaceae.
GUGCACUUUAUUGUGGCUCAGAACUUUUUCAUUUUUACCCCCAAGACUUGUUUGUGUGGCAUUUUUGCCAUUGCACUCAGGUAUACGUAACACAAAAGUGUUACAUUACCCCCUCCCCUGAUUUUUUUUUUUUUUAUUAUUAAACACAAGUGGAAUUAAGAAUGUAAUAUAUAUUUUUUUAAAU